RNAcentral lists this ribozyme (72 nucleotides) under unclassified sequences. RNAcentral's name for it is "RAGATH-2 HDV ribozyme". It matches the Rfam family "HDV ribozyme from F. prausnitzii". The record is from RNAcentral.
ACCCCACGAAGGUGUCACCUCCACGUGGUGUGGGGUGGGCAACUCACCCAUAUGGGUGAGGCUGAGAACACC